GAUGAAGAACGUAGCGAAAUGCGAUAAGUAAUGUGAAUUGCAGAAUUCAGUGAAUCAUCGAAUCUUUGAACGCACAUUGCGCCCGCCAGUAUUCUGGCGGGCAUGCCUGUCUGAGCGUCAUUUCAACCCUCAUGCCCCUAGGGCGGGGUGUUGGGGAUCGGCCAAAGCCCGCGAGGGACGGCCGGCCCCUAAAUCUAGUGGCGGACCCGUCGUGGCCUCCUCUGCGAAGUAGUGAUAUUCCGCAUCGGAGAGCGAUGAGCCCCUGCCGUUAAACCCCCAACUUUCCAAGGUUGACCUCAGAUCAGGUAGGAAUACCCGCUGAACUUAAGCAUAUCAAUAAGCGGAGGA
Molecule: unclassified non-coding RNA, 348 nt
Filed under: soil metagenome
Description: partial contains 5.8S ribosomal RNA, internal transcribed spacer 2, and large subunit ribosomal RNA
Rfam family: 5.8S ribosomal RNA (bases 1-120)
Source: RNAcentral